GAGGUCCGCGGGGCUGGCCCGGGGGCCGGGAGCCGGAGUGGAACUGCCAUGCGUCCGAGCUGAGGUGCCUCGGGACCCGGGUGCAACUGCAGAUGGGAGCGCGCAGUGCUAAGGAUGCGGACACCCAGCAGGGAGCUCUUCCGGGAUGCCGUCUUCCCCGCCUCGGACGCGUCGGUGUUCUCCGGCCUCUCCACGCCGCUGGCGCAGUUCCGCGGAGACAUCACGUGGCGGCGGCCGCAGGAGAUAUGUGCCGCACCUCAACUGUUCGCAGACACCCCGCAAGAGGGACAGGUGAAGCAGGGCCUGCUGGGGGACUGUUGGUUCCUGUGCGCCUGUGCAGCUCUCAGCCGGAACUGCCGCCUCCUGUACCAGGUCUUCCCAGCCGACCAGCCAUGCUGGCUGGACGCCGAGUACCGGGGCGCCUUCACCUGCCGGAUAUGGCGGUUCGGGCAAUGGGCAGAGGUGACUGUGGAUGACCGGCUGCCGUGCCUGGCGGGGCGACUGUGCUUCUCACGUUGCCACAAGGAGGAUGUAUUCUGGCUGCCCCUGCUGGAGAAAGCCUAUGCCAAGGUCUACGGGAGCUACGAGCAUCUGUGGGCAGGCCAGGUGGCUGAAGCCCUGGUAGACCUGACGGGGGGACUGGCAGAGCGGUGGAGCCUGAAAGAGCACCCGGAGCCCCCGGAGCCCCGGACCUGCCAGCGGCUGCUGGGCCUGCAGGACCGAUGCCCCAUCAGCUGCUCCGUGUUCAGCCCCAGGGCCGGAACCAGGGAACUGGGGGAAUUUCACGCCUUCAUUGUCUCGAGUCUGCGAGAGCUCCAGGACCUGGCGGGCCAGAGCCUGCUGCUGCUACGGAUUCAUAACCCUUGGGGCCGCAGGUGUUGGCAGGGACCUUGGAGGGAGGGGGGCGAAGGGUGGAGCCGCGUGACCCCGGCUGAAGCCUGUUCGCUGCUGGGCCAGCUGCAGGCGGGUGAGUUCUGGGUGGAGGAGACGGAGUUUCUCCGGGAGUUCGACGAGGUCACCGUGGGCUUCCCGCUCUCAGAGUCAGGCCACCUGCAGAGCCUCUGCUCAGGACAGGAGCUGUGCCACACGCAGCAGCUGCCAGGGGCAUGGGUCCGGGGGCAGUCAGCUGGAGGCUGCCGAAACCACAGCGGCUUCCCCAGCAACCCCAAGUUCUGGCUGCGAGUGUCGGAGCCCAGCGAGGUGUAUGUGGCCCUACUGCAGCAGCCAGGACUGAGGACAGCGGGUGAGGACUCCAUGAGCACAGUCCAGGGUGCAGGCAGCACCCAGCAGGCAGUGGGCCUGCACAUCUGGAAGGUGGAGAAGCAGCGGAUCAGCCUGCCCAGAGUCCUGUCUGCGCCCCCCGUGGCAGGUACAGUCUGCCAUGCAUAUGACCGGGAAGUGCACCUGCGCUGUGAGCUGUCCCCUGGGUACUACUUGGCUGUGCCCAGCACCUUCCUGAAGGAUGUGCCCGGGCGCUUCCUGCUGCGUGUCUUCUCCACUGGGAGGGUGACCCUCAGCGCCAUCAAGCUGGCCCCACAGAGCCAGGAUUACAGCGCUGAAGUGCCGGCUGGGGACUGGGAGACGGUGCAGCUGCCUGGCUCCUGGCAGCGUGGUGUGUCAGCAGGCGGCAGCCGGAACUUCGCCUCGUACCCCAGCAACCCCUGCUUCCCACUGCUGCUGCCCGGCCCGGCACCGCGCUGCGUUCGCAUCUCCCUGCGCCAGCACUGCGGGGGCGGCCCGUGCCACCCUAUUGGCUUCCACGUGUUCCAGGCGAGCCCGGGGACGAGAUGGUGGGACAAUCCCAGAGGACACCAAAGACCCAGGCCAAGCACCGCAGCCGCUGCAGGAGCCCGUGCUGAGCUGUGUCCCGCACUGCCCUGCCCCCGAAGUGAGCAGACUCUGCCAUCUGGCCGCAGGCGCCUACCGGGUGGUACCCUCCACAUAUCUACCUGACACCGAGGGCUCCUUCACGCUGCUCAUUGCCACCAGGACCGACAGGUGCUCCAGCCCCGGCCGCACCCCCAGGCCCUCCAUCCACAGCCGCGAGCUACUGGGCCAGCCCCUGACCGAGGCCUCCUUCCUGGCGGUAAUGAAGAAAGGACCCUGACAUGCUCUUCCGCCUGGGCACUGGUGCUCCCCUGAGCCGAGGAGAGGAGGGAAGAGAAGAGAGAAGAAGAGGGAGGCCAGGCCAGGCAGGCACCCCAGCCAGUAGCCAGAGCCCAGUGAGGACCGGGCCUUGUGGUGCCCCCAACAGGGACUUUCUCAAUAAAGAGCAGCUUGCAGUCCU
Molecule: RNA transcript, 2287 nt
Organism: Suncus etruscus (white-toothed pygmy shrew)
Lineage: Eukaryota; Metazoa; Chordata; Mammalia; Eulipotyphla; Soricidae
Gene: CAPN10
Gene name: calpain 10
Exons: 12
Source: RefSeq, a predicted model, not a curated record